This 465-nucleotide ribosomal RNA is filed under the name uncultured bacterium. RNAcentral describes it as "partial 16S ribosomal RNA". It matches the Rfam family "Bacterial small subunit ribosomal RNA", at positions 28 to 507 of the family's 1533-position model. The record is from RNAcentral.
GACGAACGCUGGCGGCGUGCUUAACACAUGCAAGUCGAACGGAAAGGCCCCUUUGGGGGUACUCGAGUGGCGAACGGGUGAGUAACACGUGAGUAACCUGCCCUUGACUUCGGGAUAACUUCAGGAAACUGGGGCUAAUACCGGAUAGGAAUCCUUGCUGCAUGGUGGGGGUUGGAAAGCUUCGGCGGUUUUGGAUGGACUCACGGCUUAUCAGCUUGUUGGUGGGGUAGUGGCUUACCAAGGCUUUGACGGGUAGCCGGCCUGAGAGGGCGACCGGCCAAAUUGGGACUGAGAUACGGCCCAGACUCCUACGGGAGGCAGCAGUGGGGAAUAUUGCACAAUGGGCGGGAGCCUGAUGCAGCAACGCCGCGUGCGGGAUGACGGCCUUCGGGUUGUAAACCGCUUUCAGCAGGGGCGAAGCUUGUGGUGACGGUACCUGCAGAAGAAGCACCGGCUAACUACGUG